Long non-coding RNA from Triticum dicoccoides, 563 nucleotides. RefSeq lists it as uncharacterized. The record is from RefSeq and is a predicted model, not a curated record. The transcript has 2 exons. Lineage: Eukaryota; Viridiplantae; Streptophyta; Magnoliopsida; Poales; Poaceae.
UCCCAAUUUCUUCAACCCACCAAAUCCAAUCUGCGGCGGCUCCAAGCCUCGCCCCGAGGGGUGCCCUCUGCCGGCUACGUCUGGUCUCCUCCGUCGACGACCUCACCAGUCAGGGCCCGGCCGGCUUCCCUUGUCCUCCCCGUCCCCAGGCCACACCUCUCCUGGCGUCGUCCUCAACGUCCGCAAGCCGGGUCCACGCCGGCGUCAUCCUCCUGCCAAAAUUCCGCCACAUCAAGCCGGUGCACCCUCGAAUCCCAUCUGCUGUACAAUUUACCAUUAUACAGUAUCAAGCAGAUUGGUUGUCAACAAAUCUCACCAUUAGGACCAACCAGCAUCAAUCAGGGAACUCAUGUAUAAGAUUCGGAUCUGAUGGAACAACCACAUUGGUGGUGCGUCCUGCAACUUGUGUACACAUUUUCUGUUCCUUAUCCCACCCUGUAACUUACGAAUUUGGUAGUUCGUCCUUUUAGCGAAAAAGGAGCGAGUACAUUGAUCUGGUUUACUAGCAGGUGCUACCUCGAAUCCCAUUGAGAAAAAGGGUUUCCUCGAAUCCCAUUAUGCCA